Molecule: ribosomal RNA, 428 nt
Filed under: uncultured bacterium
Lineage: Bacteria
Description: bacterial SSU rRNA
Rfam family: Bacterial small subunit ribosomal RNA
Source: RNAcentral
AGCAGUGGGGAAUAUUGGACAAUGGGGGCAACCCUGAUCCAGCCAUGCCGCGUGUGUGAAGAAGGCUUUCGGGUUGUAAAGCACUUUCAGUGAGGAAGAAGGCCUUGGGCUUAAUACGUCCGAGGAAGGACAUCACUCACAGAAGAAGCACCGGCUAACUCCGUGCCCGCCGCCGCGGUAAUACGGAGGGUGCGAGCGUUAAUCGGAAUUACUGGGCGUAAAGCGCGCGUAGGCAGCUAAGUAAGCCGGUUGUGAAAGCCCCGGGCUCAACCUGGGAACGGCAUCCGGAACUGUUUAGCUAGAGUGCAGGAGAGGAAGGUAGAAUUCCCGGUGUAGCGGUGAAAUGCGUAGAGAUCGGGAGGAAUACCAGUGGCGAAGGCGGCCUUCUGGACUGACACUGACGCUGAGGUGCGAAAGCGUGGGUAGCA